This 176-nucleotide unclassified non-coding RNA is filed under the name Clostridium tetani 12124569. Its description in RNAcentral is "T-box". Lineage: Bacteria; Bacillati; Bacillota; Clostridia; Eubacteriales; Clostridiaceae. The record is from RNAcentral.
AAAGUGACUAUGACAAAGAAUAGUAAAAACUACUAUAAAGAGAGAAAAUCCCUUGGCUGAAAGAUUUUCGUAAGUUUUGAACCUACUUUAGAGUCUGUAGUGAAAACUACCGGUAUAAUAGCCGAUAUUAGAUUGAGUAAAAAUUAGGUGGUACCGCGGAUAUUCUCGCCCUAAAG